Molecule: ribosomal RNA, 274 nt
Filed under: uncultured bacterium
Lineage: Bacteria
Description: partial 16S ribosomal RNA
Rfam family: Bacterial small subunit ribosomal RNA
Source: RNAcentral
AUACGGAGGGUGCGAGCGUUAAUCGGAAUUACUGGGCGUAAAGCGUGCGUAGGCGGUUUGCUAAGUCAGAUGUGAAAGCCCCGGGCUUAACCUGGGAACUGCAUUUGAUACUGACAGACUAGAGUAUGAUAGAGGGGGGUAGAAUUCCUGGUGUAGCGGUGAAAUGCGUAGAUAUCAGGAGGAAUACCAGUGACGAAGGCGGCCCCCUGGAUCAAUACUGACGCUGAGGUACGAAAGCGUGGGGAGCGAACAGGAUUAGAUACCCCAGUAGUCC